Molecule: ribosomal RNA, 469 nt
Filed under: uncultured bacterium
Lineage: Bacteria
Description: partial 16S ribosomal RNA
Rfam family: Bacterial small subunit ribosomal RNA
Source: RNAcentral
GACGAACGCUGGCGGCGUGCUUAACACAUGCAAGUCGAACGGAAAGGCCCUGCUUGCAGGGUGCUCGAGUGGCGAACGGGUGAGUAACACGUGGGUGAUCUGCCCCUUACUUUGGGAUAAGCCUGGGAAACUGGGUCUAAUACUGGAUAGGACCAUGCUGUAGGUGGUGUGGUGGAAAGAUUAGUUUCGGUUAGGGAUGAGCUCGCGGCCUAUCAGCGUGUUGGUGGGGUAAUGGCCUACCAAGGCGUCGACGGGUAGCCGGCCUGAGAGGGUGGACGGCCACAUUGGGACUGAGAUACGGCGCAGAAUACUACGGGAGGCAGCAGUGGGGAAUAUUGCACAAUGGGCGCACGCCUGAUGCAGCGACGCCGCGUGGGGGAUGACGGCCUUCGGGUUGUAAACACCUUACAGCCAUGACGAAGCCCUUGUGGUGACGGUAGUGGUAGAAGAAGCACCGGCUAACUACGUG